Molecule: ribosomal RNA, 440 nt
Filed under: uncultured bacterium
Lineage: Bacteria
Description: partial 16S ribosomal RNA
Rfam family: Bacterial small subunit ribosomal RNA
Source: RNAcentral
CCUACGGGGGGCUGCAGUGGGGAAUAUUGCACAAUGGGGGAAACCCUGAUGCAGCGACGCCGCGUGAGUGAAGAAGUAAUUCGUUAUGUAAAGCUCUAUCAGCAGGGAAGAAAAUGACGGUACCUGAGUAAGAAGCCCCGGCUAACUACGUGCCAGCAGCCGCGGUAAUACGUAGGGGGCAAGCGUUAUCCGGAUUUACUGGGUGGAAAGGGAGCGUAGACGGCAGUGCAAGUCUGGAGUGAAAGGCGGGGGCUCAACCCCCGGACUGCUCUGGAAACGGUACGGCUGGAGUGCAGGAGAGGUAAGUGGAAUUCCUAGUGUAGCGGUGAAAUGCGUAGAUAUUAGGAGGAACACCAGUGGCGAAGGCGGCUUACUGGACUGUAACUGACGUUGAGGCUCCAAAGCGUGGGGAGCAAACAGGAUUAGAUACCCGUGUAGUC